UACGAAGGGGGCUAGCGUUGUUCGGAAUUACUGGGCGUAAAGCGUAUGCAGGCGGACUUUUAAGUCGGGGGUGAAAUCCCUCGGCUCAACUGAGGAAUUGCCUUCGAUACUGUUCGGCUUGAGUCCUGGAGAGGGUAGCGGAAUUCCCGGUGUAGCGGUGAAAUGCGUAGAGACCGGGAAGAACACCAGUGGCGAAGGCGGCUACCUGGACAGGUACUGACGCUGAAGCGCGAAAGCUAGGGGAGCAAACAGG
This 253-nucleotide ribosomal RNA is filed under the name uncultured bacterium. Its description in RNAcentral is "partial 16S ribosomal RNA". It matches the Rfam family "Bacterial small subunit ribosomal RNA", at positions 524 to 776 of the family's 1533-position model. The record is from RNAcentral.